UACGUAGGGUGCGAGCGUUAAUCGGAAUUACUGGGCGUAAAGCGUGCGCAGGCGGUGAUGUAAGACAGGUGUGAAAUCCCCGGGCUUAACCUGGGAACUGCAUUUGUGACUGCAUCGCUGGAGUGCGGCAGAGGGGGAUGGAAUUCCGCGUGUAGCAGUGAAAUGCGUAGAUAUGCGGAGGAACACCGAUGGCGAAGGCAGCCCCCUGGGCUAACACUGACGCUCAGGCACGAAAGCGUGGGGAGCAAACAGG
Molecule: ribosomal RNA, 253 nt
Filed under: uncultured bacterium
Lineage: Bacteria
Description: partial 16S ribosomal RNA
Rfam family: Bacterial small subunit ribosomal RNA
Source: RNAcentral